RNAcentral lists this ribosomal RNA (253 nucleotides) under uncultured bacterium. RNAcentral describes it as "partial 16S ribosomal RNA". It matches the Rfam family "Bacterial small subunit ribosomal RNA", at positions 524 to 776 of the family's 1533-position model. The record is from RNAcentral.
UACAGAGGGCUCAAGCGUUGUUCGGAUUCAUUGGGCGUAAAGGGCGCGCAGGCGGCCGUGUGUGUGAGGCGUGAAAGCCUGGAGCUUAACUCCAGAAUUGCACCUCAAACUACAUGGCUAGAGCAUUGGAGAGGGUAGCAGAAUUCAUGGUGUAGCAGUGAAAUGCGUAGAUAUCAUGAGGAAUACCAGAGGCGAAGGCGGCUACCUGGACAAUUGCUGACGCUCAGGCACGAAAGCGUGGGGAGCAAAAGGG